This 381-nucleotide RNase P RNA is filed under the name Mucilaginibacter mali. Its description in RNAcentral is "Bacterial RNase P class A". It matches the Rfam family "Bacterial RNase P class A". Rfam says of the family: Ribonuclease P (RNase P) is a ubiquitous endoribonuclease, found in archaea, bacteria and eukarya as well as chloroplasts and mitochondria. Its best characterised activity is the generation of mature 5'-ends of tRNAs by cleaving the 5'-leader elements of precursor-tRNAs. Lineage: Bacteria; Pseudomonadati; Bacteroidota; Sphingobacteriia; Sphingobacteriales; Sphingobacteriaceae. The record is from Rfam by way of RNAcentral.
AUAGCAAAUCGUUCUAUCGCUGCUCCGCUUCGGCGGGGCAGAGGAAAGUCCGGGCAACACAGAGCAUCCUGCUUCCUAACGGGAAGGCGCCGUCAGCCGGCGACAGCAAGUGCCACAGAGAAUAUACCGCCCUCAAUUUAUUGGGGGUAAGGGUGAAAACGUGAGGUAAGAGCUCACGGCUUUUCCGGGCGACCGGGAUCGCGGUAAACCUCAGGAGUUGAAAGACCAAAUAGGUGCCGGAAGCGGGGCGGCUCGUCUCCUUUUCGCAAGAAAUGCCGGCAUGGGUAGGUCGUUUAAGAUGUGCAGCAAUGUACAUAACAGAUUAAUGAUAGAAGUUGCCGAAAGGCAAAACAGAACCCGGCUUACAGCUUUGCUGCUGAU